CCUACGGGAGGCUGCAGUAGGGAAUAUUGGACAAUGGGUGAGAGCCUGAUCCAGCCAUGCCGCGUGCAGGAAGAAGGCGUUAUGCGUUGUAAACUGCUUUUGCCAGGGGAUAAAAAAGGCGUGCGCGCUUAAUUGAAGGUACCUGGUGAAUAAGCCACGGCUAACUACGUGCCAGCAGCCGCGGUAAUACGUAGGUGGCAAGCGUUGUCCGGAUUUAUUGGGUUUAAAGGGUGCGUAGGCGGCUUUUUAAGUCAGUGGUGAAAUAUCUCAGCUUA
This 275-nucleotide ribosomal RNA is filed under the name uncultured Ohtaekwangia sp. RNAcentral's name for it is "partial 16S ribosomal RNA". It matches the Rfam family "Bacterial small subunit ribosomal RNA", at positions 338 to 611 of the family's 1533-position model. The record is from RNAcentral. Lineage: Bacteria; Pseudomonadati; Bacteroidota; Cytophagia; Cytophagales; Fulvivirgaceae.